RNAcentral lists this ribosomal RNA (253 nucleotides) under uncultured bacterium. RNAcentral describes it as "partial 16S ribosomal RNA". It matches the Rfam family "Bacterial small subunit ribosomal RNA", at positions 524 to 776 of the family's 1533-position model. The record is from RNAcentral.
UACAGAGGGUGCGAGCGUUAAUCGGAAUUACUGGGCGUAAAGCGUGCGUAGACGGUUUCGUAAGUCGGAUGUGAAAGCCCCGGGCUCAACCUGGGAAUUGCAUUCGAGACUGAAUAGCUAGGGUACGGUAGAGGGAAGUGGAAUUUCCGGUGUAGCGGUGAAAUGCGUAGAUAUCGGAAGGAACAUCAGUGGCGAAAGCGACUUCCUGGACCAGUACCGACGUUCAGGCACGAAAGCGUGGGGAGCAAACAGG